AGGAAGAGGUGACAGUAAUCUUACCAGGGGCUACUCUCAUCAUAGUGGCUGUCAACCCGCAAGCCAUCCCCCCAACCCCCGUGAGACUUGAGAAGUAUCUUGAUGACCAAAGAGGAUGAUUUUUCUCAGAGAAAGGUGCCAGUGUCGUCCUCCGGAGCUUUGAUCCAGGAUGGUGUGCUCACGUGCGCAAUGCAAUUUUGUCACCAGAUUGUAAUGUGGGUUUUGUCUCUCUCUACCCUUGCCUCUCACUGUGUUUGUCUGAGUCACAGAACUGAUUUCCACUGUGUUUGUCUGAAUCACAAAGCUGAUUUCCAAGGAUUGAUUGGGAAGAAAUAGAUGGAUUUUUAUACACGUACACCAAAAAUAUUCUGCCCUAAGUACCAUGGAAUGAUGCCCUUGCCUCAUUACUUCCUUGUUGGUAUCAUUUCCUUAUCUCUUUGAUUAUCUUCUGGGACCAGUGUCCGCUCCUCCAAGCACCCACCCUUUGGGUGCAUCACUCCAUUCAUGGCAUGACCAGUCCAUGCCAUAUGACUGAGGAGUGGAAGUGCCACCUCAACUUCAGUGAUGACAGUCUGUCAUUUAUGCCCACCUUAAAAUGUAGGGAGCUUGUUUCAGCCCCCAAUUUCUGGAGUAUAUUUGUUCUGUGUUAU
Molecule: long non-coding RNA, 650 nt
Filed under: Rattus norvegicus (Norway rat)
Lineage: Eukaryota; Metazoa; Chordata; Mammalia; Rodentia; Muridae
Description: long non-coding RNA NONRATT013096
Source: RNAcentral